GUUGUAUGGUUAAGUGACUAAGCGUACACGGUGGAUGCCUUGGCAGUCAGAGGCGAUGAAGGACGUAGUAACUUGCGAUAAGCGUAGAUGAGGCAGUAACAGCCACUUGAGUCUACGAUUUCCGAAUGGGGAAACCCACUGGCAUAAGCCAGUAUCAUUGAGUGAAUACAUAGCUCAAUGAAGCGAACCGGGAGAACUGAAACAUCUAAGUACCCCGAGGAAAAGAAAUCAACCGAGAUUCCGAAAGUAGCGGCGAGCGAAAUUGGAUUAGCCCUUAAGCUUUACAUGUGUUAGACGAACGGUCUGGAAAGUCCGACGAUACAGGGUGAUAGUCCCGUAGUUGUAGAUGCAUGUUCAGUGAAAUCGAGUAGGGCGGGACACGUGUUAUCCUGUCUGAAUAUGGGGGGACCAUCCUCCAAGGCUAAAUACUCCUGACUGACCGAUAGUGAACCAGUACCGUGAGGGAAAGGCGAAAAGAACCCCUGUGAGGGGAGUGAAAUAGAACCUGAAACCGUGUACGUACAAGCAGUAGGAGCACCUUCGUGGUGUGACUGCGUACCUUUUGUAUAAUGGGUCAGCGACUUAUAUUCAGUGGCAAGGUUAACCAUCUAGGGGAGCCGUAGGGAAACCGAGUCUUAACUGGGCGCCAUAGUCUCUGGAUAUAGACCCGAAACCGAGUGAUCUAGCCAUGGGCAGGUUGAAGGUUGAGUAACAUCAACUGGAGGACCGAACCGACUAAUGUUGAAAAAUUAGCGGAUGACUUGUGGCUAGGGGUGAAAGGCCAAUCAAACUCGGAGAUAGCUGGUUCUCCCCGAAAGCUAUUUAGGUAGCGCCUCGGACGAAUACUACUGGGGGUAGAGCACUGUUAAGGCUAGGGGGUCAUCCCGACUUACCAACCCUUUGCAAACUCCGAAUACCAGUAAGUACUAUCCGGGAGACACACGGCGGGUGCUAACGUCCGUCGUGGAGAGGGAAACAACCCAGACCGCCAGCUAAGGUCCCAAAUUACAGCUAAGUGGGAAACGAUGUGGGAAGGCUUAGACAGCUAGGAUGUUGGCUUAGAAGCAGCCAUCAUUUAAAGAAAGCGUAAUAGCUCACUAGUCGAGUCGGCCUGCGCGGAAGAUGUAACGGGGCUAAGUUGUAAACCGAAGCUGCGGCAAUGUUCUUUGAACAUUGGGUAGGGGAGCGUUCUGUAAGCCGUUGAAGGUGUGUUGUAAAGCAUGCUGGAGGUAUCAGAAGUGCGAAUGCUGACAUGAGUAACGACAAGGGGGGUGAAAAACCUCCCCGCCGGAAGACCAAGGGUUCCUGUCCAACGUUAAUCGGGGCAGGGUAAGUCGACCCCUAAGGCGAGGCCGAAAGGCGUAGUCGAUGGGAAACGGGUUAAUAUUCCCGUACUUCUUACAAUUGCGAUGGGGGGACGGAGAAGGCUAGGUGGGCCUGGCGACGGUUGUCCAGGUUCAAGUGCGUAGGCU
Molecule: ribosomal RNA, 1472 nt
Filed under: Vibrio vulnificus
Lineage: Bacteria; Pseudomonadati; Pseudomonadota; Gammaproteobacteria; Vibrionales; Vibrionaceae
Description: partial 23S ribosomal RNA
Rfam family: Bacterial large subunit ribosomal RNA
Source: RNAcentral